RNAcentral lists this transfer RNA (67 nucleotides) under Crocidura palawanensis (Palawan shrew). RNAcentral's name for it is "tRNA-Cys". It matches the Rfam family "tRNA". Rfam says of the family: Transfer RNA (tRNA) molecules are approximately 80 nucleotides in length. Their secondary structure includes four short double-helical elements and three loops (D, anti-codon, and T loops). The record is from RNAcentral. Lineage: Eukaryota; Metazoa; Chordata; Mammalia; Eulipotyphla; Soricidae.
GUCCUGUAGUGAAAGAAUCAUAUUGAAUUGCAAAUUCAAAGAAGCAGCUUCAAUUCUGCCGGGGCUU